AACACCGACACUGUCAACAACACCGUCACCAACAACAACACUGACACCAACAACACUGACAACUUCCAGUCAAGAUGACAUUCAAGAGGUUCCUCAACGUGAGGAGGAGGAAUUUCCUGCAGGUAUCAUAGCACUGUUGGUGAUCCUAGGUCUGUUAGUCCUUGCCUCUCCGUCAUUUGUCAUAAUUGCACGGAGAUUGAGACAAAAUGCGAAAUCCAAAGGAGACGAAAAUGCAUUUGGCAAUUCUGGCUUUGAACAACCUGAAGUAAAAUUGGAUUACAACAAUGCUGGCUUUAGCAGAACAGAAACACCAGCAUAAGAAACCUGCAUGUACAUAAAACAAACUUAAUGAAUGAACGAAGAGAGAAACACUAUUUAUUCGGGAUUAAUUAUGUUAAUCCAUGCAUGCAUUACUGAAUUUCAAAACAACUCUAAAAACAAUAAUAAUUAAAAUAAUAUGGUUAUAAUAAAAUACAACAAUGAAUAAAAAGUAAAAGAAAAAGUUACACAUGCACACUCACAGAUAUAUAUAUAUA
Gigantopelta aegis is the source of this 536-nucleotide long non-coding RNA. RefSeq lists it as uncharacterized. NCBI's taxonomy places the organism in Eukaryota, Metazoa, Mollusca, Gastropoda, Neomphalida, Peltospiridae. The record is from RefSeq and is a predicted model, not a curated record. The transcript has 3 exons.